CCUACGGGAGGCAGCAGUGGGGAAUAUUGCACAAUGGGCGCAAGCCUGAUGCAGCGACGCCGCGUGGGGGAUGACGGCCUUCGGGUUGUAAACUCCUUUCGCUAGGGACGAAGCUUUUUGUGACGGUACCUAGAUAAGAAGCACCGGCUAACUACGUGCCAGCAGCCGCGGUAAUA
This 176-nucleotide ribosomal RNA is filed under the name uncultured bacterium. Its description in RNAcentral is "partial 16S ribosomal RNA". It matches the Rfam family "Bacterial small subunit ribosomal RNA", at positions 338 to 525 of the family's 1533-position model. The record is from RNAcentral.